CGCGUAGGCGGCUAGGCAAGUCAAAGGUGAAAUCCCUCGGCUCAACCGAGGAACUGCCUCUGAAACUGCCUGGCUUGAGUCCCGGAGAGGGUGGCGGAAUUCCCAGUGUAGCGGUGAAAUGCGUAGAUAUUGGGAGGAACACCUGUGGCGAAGGCGGCCACCUGGACGGGUACUGACGCUGAGGCGCGAAAGCGUGGGGAGCAAACAGGAUUAGAUACCCUGGUAGUCC
RNAcentral lists this ribosomal RNA (229 nucleotides) under uncultured bacterium. RNAcentral describes it as "partial 16S ribosomal RNA". It matches the Rfam family "Bacterial small subunit ribosomal RNA", at positions 568 to 796 of the family's 1533-position model. The record is from RNAcentral.